UGUUAUUAUUGUUUUUUUUAAAAGUGCUU
RNAcentral lists this non-coding RNA (29 nucleotides) under Mus musculus (house mouse). Lineage: Eukaryota; Metazoa; Chordata; Mammalia; Rodentia; Muridae. The record is from RNAcentral.